GAGUUUGAAUAUGAGGCAGAGGAGGUGGUUGGACGUGCUGAAGGACUAUGACUGUGAGAUCCUUUAUCAUCCAGGGAAGGCCAACGUGGUGGCCGACGCCCUAAGCCGCAAGGUGUCGGCGGCCCCUAUCAGGGAUCUGUGUAUGAGGAUGACAGUGAUCACUCCACUGUUGGAGCGGAUCAAGGAGGCUCAGAUGGAGGGCCUCAAGGAGGAGAGGCAGAAGUGUGAGAGGAUAGUAGGCCGAGUAGCUUCAUUUGAUUACGACAGUCGGGGUUUGUUGACACUUCAUGGUAGGGUAUGGGUACCGUACUGGGGUGGGGUACGGCAGGUAUUGAUGGACGAGGCUCAUAAGUCUCGAUUUUCUAUCCACCCAGGAGCGACAAAGAUGUACCGAGAUCUUCGACCCGAUUAUUGGUGGCCCUGCAUGAAGCGGGACGUCGCCUGGUACGUCGAGAGAUGCCUGACCUGCCGGAAGGUCAAGGCGGAGCACCAGAGACCUCACGGCAGGAUGCAGCCGUUAGACAUUCCCGUGUGGAAAUGGGAGGACAUUACCAUGGAUUUUGUCACCAAGCUUCCCCGGACCGCACGUGGAGUGGACUCGAUAUGGGUAGUAGUGGAUCGGUUGACGAAGAGUGCCCAUUUUAUCCCGAUCCAGGAGAGUAUAUCGGCGGAGAAGUUAGCCGAUAUCUAUGUGCGUGAGAUCGUGGCACGUCAUGGAGUGCCGGUAUCAGUGGUGUCUGACCGAGAUGUCCGUUUCACAUCCAGAUUUUGGAAGCGGUUCCACGACGAGAUGGGUACUCGUCUCCAUUUCAGCACCGCUUUCCACCCUCAGACAGACGGGCAGAGCGAGAGGACGAUUCAGACUCUAGAGGAUAUGCUCAGGGCAUGUGUCCUAGAUUUCGGUGGCAGUUGGGAUACGUAUCUUCCGUUAGCGGAAUUCUCGUAUAACAACAGUUACCAUGCGAGCAUUGACCGACCUCCCUUUGAGAUGCUGUAUGGGAGGAAGUGUAGGACCCCGAUUUGUUGGGGCGAGGUCGGUCAGCGAGUCAUUGGGAGCACAGAGGUGGUGCUCAAGACGACUGAGUUGAUCCAGCAGGUCCGUAGUAGACUGCAAACUGCUCAGAGUCGGCAGAAGAGCUACGCCGAUAGGAGGCGUUCGGACUUGGAGUUCCAGGUGGGAGAUAUGGUCCUUCUGAAGGUCUCACCUUGGAAGGGUGUCAUCAGGUUCCGGAAGAGGGGCAAGUUGGGCCCCAGAUUUAUUGGUCCUUUCAGGGUUUUGGCCCGGGUGGGUCGGGUUGCUUAUCGGUUAGAUCUUCCUGAGGAGCUUAGUCAGAUCCACAACACUUUCCAUGUGUCUCAGUUGAGGAAGUGUUUGGUGGAUGAAUCAGCAGUCGUUCCCCUAGAGGAUAUUCAGGUUGAUAGUAGCCUGAAUUAUAUUGAGAGACCGGUCGCGAUUCUGGACCGGAAGACCAAGACCUUGAGGAACAAGGAAAUUCAGUUAGUAAAGGUGCAGUGGCAGCACCGGAAGGGGUCUGAGUGGACGUGGGAGGCUGAGGAGGAGAUGAGAGAGCACUACCCAGAGUUAUUUGCAGAUCCAGCCGUAGCAGACUUCGAGGACGAAGUCUGAGACAAGUGGGGGAGAAUUGUAACGACCCGUUCCCGGUAUGUUAAUUUAUUGGUUUUUGUUGUGAGUUUUGCAAGAGGAACUCGGCGAGUUCAUAGCCUGACUCGCCGAGUAGGGUCGCGGCUGCGAGCACGCGUGAGCCGGGGACUCGGCGAGUCCAUAUCCUGGACUCGGCGAGUCCAUCCGUCUGGGUGAAACCCUAAAUCCCCGGGUUGCCCACUAUUUAAACCACCUUAUAGCCCCAUUCUCGCCUCCCUCACCCUGAGAACACAGUGAGAAAACCCUAAUCCUCCCUUGAGAGCUUAUAAGUGAUUUGGUGCCAUUUUGUGAAGGUGUGAAGAAGGAGAAGAAGAAAGAAGCAAGGAAACGAGUUGUAGUGCAAAGAUCCAAGGGCAAAUCUGAGUUUAUUGAGGUAUUUUCGGAGUUCCCUUCUUGUUAUAUGCUUUAAACUUCCAUUAGAGCUCUUCUAAGAGCUAUUUGAUGUUUGUUCCAAGCCUUAUGUUUGCAUGAAUGUCUUAAUAAGUCGAAAUACCUUUGGAUCUGAAUGUUGGGGUGUUGUAGAGCCCAGAUCUACUGUCUUUUUGGAGUUACUUUGCAUAUUAAUCAUAGAUCUACCCAUUUUAUGCAUCUUUUAGCCUUAUUUCCCUUAUUCAUGAGGUUGUGCACGUAAAGUUGGAAACUUUACGUGGUAAAUCAGCUUAUUGGACUCAGAUCUAUCAAUUGUAUGUGUUGGAUUCAAACAAAAUCGAGUAAAAAUCAGUUGCAUGGCGGCAACUCGGCGAGUCGGGAAGAACGACUCGGCGAGUUGGGUCGCGAGUUCCCGAGUCCUUCAUUUUGAUCAGUGUCGAGUGAAUCCAGUGAGUUAGAGAGUGGACUCAGCGAGUUGAGGGUAGACUCAGUGAUGGAGGGACUCGGCGAGUUGUUCAUACAACUCGGCGAGUCCAAGGCAAUCUUCUUAGGAUCAUGAACAACUCGUCGAGUUUGUUCAUACGGCUCGGCGAGUCGGAUGAAGAUUGUCUGAGUUCUUGGAUCAAGAGGGUACUCGUCGAGUCGAUGCCACACUCGACGAGUAGCAGCGUGUAGAACUGAGAAGUGAGAGUAGGACUCGGCGAGUUGGGUGGCCCAACUCGGCGAGUCAGCCCCAAAAGUAAGUUGACUUUGACCAAGGGUAAAAGAGUCAUUUUACCCCAAGUGCAGUGUUUAGUAUUUGAUUGAGUGUGUUCAUGGGCUUGUAGCCGAGGAGAUUCAGGAGCAGCAGCCGGUAGCUUUCAGAGACACACACUCAGCCGCCAGUUUACGAGGUGAGUUUCCUUCAAGUAGGGACGGGUCUAAGGCCACAAUGCCGGCCCGUCCAGUUAGCAGUAGUUUCCGGACUUCGGUCCGAUGUAGCAGCUAGUAUGUUUGAUGCCUUCGUGGCUCAGACAGGAUUUAUGUGCUAUGUUUUAUGUGUUACGUGUUAUGUGUUCUGGGCUACGGCUCGAUGUAGUAUGCAGUAUAUGUGUUCAUGCUAGUUGAUAUGCUAUGAUAUGUUCAGUCAGUUAGUUCCGGACUCCGGUCCGAUGCAGGGGACAAGGUCCCAGUUAGUUCCGGACUUCGGUCCGAUGCAGUUAGUUCCGGACUUCGGUCCGAUGCAGUUAGUUCCGGACUUCGGUCCGAUGCAGGGGACAAGGUCCCAGUCAGUUCCGGAUUUCGGUCCGAUGCAGUUUCCGGGCUUCGGCCCGAUGCAGUGGGCAAGGCCCAAUAUGUGUUAUAUGCUAUUGUAUGGUAUGUGGUAUUUUGGGGGAGCUCACUAAGCUUCGUGCUUACAGUUUCAGUUUUGGUUUCAGGUACUUCCGCAAGCAAAGGGAAGAGCUCGGGAUGACGGCAUCGCACACACCACCGCCUCAGCUUUAGCCUGGGAUUGAUUUAGAUGUUUUGAUCUGAUGUAGUAUGAUACAGUUUUCCGCACAGUAUUUUAUUAUGUUUUGGAAUACAUCACGCAUGGUUUUAUUAUAUGAUGCUCUGAUUACAGUUUUGAUUAUAUUAAAAACAAAAAUUUUUGGGUCGUAUUUUUGGGUCGUUUCAAGUUGGUAUCAGAGCCCUGGUUUGAGGGAUUCGGAUACACUUCCGGGUGUAUCUGAACUCAAACUAAGGGGAAAUAAAAAGAUUUCUAAAAGUAAAAUGUUUUCUAAAAGAAUUUUGAAAGCACUUAGAAAGAAAGAAAUUUUUAAACAAGAUAAGGGUGUGGUGCAUGCGAUCAGCCGAGCUCAAGUAAGUACUCCCAAAUUACCCAUACAAGUUAUUUGUUCAAUUUCAGUUUUAGUAGAACAGCAUGCUAGUAUAGGACUAAGGAUUUAGGAGAAUGCCUUAUGUGCCUGCUUAUGUGUUACAGCUUUAUGAGUAUUGCAUGCUAGUACUGAGUAGACAGCAGUAGGAUAGCCUGAUUAGGUUAUGCCUGAUAGCAGGAGCUUAGCAUCUUAUGCUAGAUCAGUUUCUCGUUUUGAGAAUAGUUUUGCCUAAGUAUGUUCCCUUAUUCCGAAUGCUGCUUGCUUCGUGCUUUGUGGGAGUUCUGAGUGAUGGAAGUUAACCAUUAAGUGAACACGUUACACCAUAUGUGAUCAGGGUUAAAUAAUCCCAGAGUGCUGGAACUGACCCUAUUGCGCAGCUCUUGUUUGAGUCCAACCGUUAUAGGGACGGGUCUUUUACUUGAAGGAUUAUCUGAUCUUCGUCACAUGUGAUGGUGUUCAGGUGAUGGUUAAUUAGCAUUAUAAGGAGACCUGCAGCAGCUGAGGACUAGUUGAGUUAAGUCUGAGGUUUCCCUGGGGCAAGCCUAGGAUGAGAGUAGCAGAGAUCAGUAGUAGUAGAAGUGACUUGGUGGAGUCAGGGCAGUUCUUGAAGAAAGUACGGAUAGAUGUGGAAGGUAGUAUGGGCCCGUACUACUGGAAGCAGAGGAUCCGUACUCGAAUCAAGAAAGGCUGAGACAAGACCAGGAAGCUAGUUGUAGUAUCAAUGAUCCCUCAAGAUAUUUCUGUUUUCUGAUGUAGUUGUGAUGUGUUUCAGAAUGGUGGUUUUGCGUUCGAGACCAGCAGCCGGCAGCGGAGGUGCCGGGGAGGGAUCAGGUUCAGGCUCGGGGGAUGAGCGCAUGGAUGAGCAGACCCGAGAGUUUCUUUCUUCGGAGAUUACGCGCAUCAUUAUAGAGCAGACUCCUGUGAUCUUCGGUUCGAUCAAGGAGGGGAUUCUAGAGCUGAUGGAUGAGAGACUGGGCACCUUCCGUGCCGAGGUGGCGGCCAUGAUGGGGUCGCGCACCCUUACCUUCAGGGAGUUCAGGGCAUGUGGAGCCCCGGACUAUCAUGGGGCGCGGGACCCCAUAGCGAGCACCAGAUGGUUGGCAGAUGUGGCCAACGCUUUCCGUACUAGCAGAUGUCCCGAGGGGGACAAGGUCAGAUUGGCGUCCUGUCUUCUGAAGGACAGGGCACGAGAUUGGUGGGAGGAGGUCGGGCAUGCCAUUGGGGAUGAUGCAGCAUUGGACGCCAUGACCUGGGCUGAUUUCUCUACCAGGUUCAGGGCGGAGUUUGCACCGGUCAUUGAGGUGCAACAGCUAGCUAGGGAGUUUCAGGACCUCACCCAGACUACAGAGACAGUGGCGGAGAUCACCGCCAAGUUCAGGGAGAGGGCUCUUCUCGUUCCUCAGUAUGUAGCUGAUGAGGAAAUGAAGAAGGCCCGUUAUCAUGAGAUGUUGCGGAGCGAUAUCCGCCAGUUUGUGAGCCGGUCCAGCUGUAAAACGCUGGAAGAUAUGAUUGCUAGAGCUCGGGAGAGGGAGAUUGAUCUUGAGAUGGAGAAGAAGAGGAAACCGGAGGCGGUUUCGGGUUCAGGCGGUUCGGGCAAAAAGCCCAAGGUUUCGGAUCACAGAUCUAGGAGUCAGCAGAGCCACGGUCGAUGUGGCAAGUGUGGGAGAUUGCACGAGGGAGCGUGCAAGGCAGGGAGUUCCGGCUGCUACAAGUGCGGUCGGAUUGGGCAUUUGAGUAGGGAUUGUACGGCCCCUGCUACUGCCGUCGCAGCAUCAGAUCUGAUUUGCUUUCAGUGCAAUCAGAGGGGACAUAAAAAGUCCCAGUGUCCGAGUUUAGCUUCAGCAGGGAAGGUGGCUGCACCUGCCCCUGCUACCUUGAGGAUUACAGAUGGCCGGCAGGGCCGAGCUGAUGCGCCAGUGGCGAAGAGUAGGGCGUUUCAGAUGACAGCAGAGGAGGCGCGAGCGACUCCUGAUGUGGUGACGGGUAUGUAUCUUCCCUUUUAUCUCUUUAUUAUUAUUGAUUAAAUGUUGCUUAUGGUUGUAUGUUUUAUUCAGGGUCGUUCUCUGUGAACGGCAUUUCUGCUUUGGUAUUAUUCGAUUCGGGGGCUACCCGAUCAUUCGUAUCUCUUGCGCUUAGCAAGAGGUUCAGUAGAGCUCCAGGGGAGCUGGAUUGUCCAUUAGAGGUUGAGAUAGCGGAUGAUAGGACCGUGAGGGUCGGCAGAGUGCACAGAGGGUGUUCUCUUCAGUUAUUUGAUGAGCAGUUUUCAGUGGAUUUGGUACCUAUUCCCCUGCGAGGGAAUAAGGUUAUUGUGGGUAUGGAUUGGCUAAGCCCCAAUGGGGCGGUGAUUGAUUGCGAGCUUCAGCUAGUGAGGGUUCGCACUCCCAGUGGGGGAGAGUUGGUGAUUCAGGGCGAGAGGCCACAGCGAGGACCGACCUUUUGUUCCGCCGCAAGGGCGAGGCGCUAUGUUCAGCAGGGUUGCGCCGGUUUUGUAGCUUACGUUUUGGAUGCCCGGGAGAAGGGCAAGUCGACAGUUGAUGAUGUUCCUAUUGUUCGAGACUACCCGGACGUGUUUCCCGAGGAUUUGCCGGGGAUACCUCCUGAGAGACAGGUUGAGUUCAGGAUCGACCUCAUUCCUGGUGCGGCUCCGAUAGCCAAGGCACCGUAUCGACUAGCUCCCCCUGAGAUGCAGGAGUUGUCUACACAGCUGCAGGAGCUGUUAGACAAGGGUUUCAUUCGGCCGAGCAGUUCGCCUUGGGGAGCGCCGAUCCUGUUUGUGAGAAAGAAGGAUGGGUCGCAUCGUAUGUGUAUUGAUUAUCGGGAGCUGAAUAAGGUAACGGUGAAGAACCGUUACCCACUCCCGAGGAUAGAUGAUUUGUUUGAUCAGCUUCAGGGAGCGUCUUGGUUCUCCAAGAUCGAUCUACGCUCCGGAUAUCAUCAGAUGCGGGUUAGAGAUGAGGAUGUACAGAAGACUGCUUUCAGGACCAGGUAUGGUCAUUACGAGUUUGUGGUGAUGCCAUUUGGGCUCACCAAUGCUCCAGCCGCGUUCAUGGAUCUCAUGAACCGCGUGUGUAGGCCGAUGCUGGAUCGGUCAGUGAUAGUGUUCAUAGAUGACAUCUUGGUAUAUUCCAAGACGCAGGAGCAGCACGAGGAGCACCUGCGGGAGGUGCUGGAGGUUUUGAGGAGGGAGAGACUUUUCGCAAAGUUCUCCAAAUGUGAGUUCUGGUUGCGCGAGGUGCAGUUCCUUGGUCACCUCGUCAACCAGAAGGGUAUUCUGGUAGAUCCGGCCAAGAUAGAGGCCGUGAUGCAGUGGGAGGUCCCGAAGUCUCCAUCUGAGAUUCGGAGCUUCCUAGGGUUGGCAGGGUAUUAUCGGAGAUUUAUUCAGGAUUUCUCCAAGAUAGCAGUGCCGCUCACCCGACUGACCAAGAAGUCAGUGGUAUUUCGUUGGGGUCCGGAGCAGCAGACAGCAUUCGAGACCCUCAGGCAGAGAUUGUGCGAGGCUCCGAUCCUUACCUUGCCAGAGGGAGUAGAGGACUUUGUAGUCUAUUGUGAUGCCUCGAUCACAGGUUUGGGAGCAGUUCUGAUGCAGCGAGGCCAUGUGAUAGCUUAUGCCUCGAGACAGUUGAAGCCUCACGAGGCUAAUUAUCCUACCCAUGAUUUGGAGCUGGGGGCAGUUGUGUUUGCCCUCAAGAUUUGGAGGCAUUACCUUUAUGGGGUCCGUUGUACUAUUUACACGGAUCACAAGAGUUUGAGGUACCUUAUGGAUCAGCCGAGUCUGAACAUGAGGCAGAGGAGGUGGUUGGAUGUGCUAAAGGAUUACGACUGUGAGAUCCUUUACCAUCCAGGGAAGGCCAACGUGGUGGCCGAUGCCCUGAGCCGCAAAGUGUCGGCGGCCCCUAUCAGAGAUCUAUGUUUGAGGAUGACAGUGAUCACUCCGUUGUUGGAGCGGAUCAAGGAGGCUCAGGUGGAGGGCCUCAAGGAGGAGAGACAGAAGUGUGAGAGGAUCGUGGGCCGAGUAGCCUCGUUUGAUUAUGAUAGUCGUGGUUUGCUGACGCUUCACGGGAGAGUGUGGGUACCGUACUGGGGUGGAGUACGGCAAGUGUUGAUGGAUGAGGCUCAUAAGUCUCGGUUUUCUAUCCACCCAGGGGCGACGAAGAUGUAUCGAGAUCUUCGACCUGAUUAUUGGUGGCCCUGCAUGAAGCGGGACGUCGCCUGGUACGUCGAGAGAUGCCUGACCUGCCGGAAGGUCAAGGCGGAGCACCAGAGACCUCACGGCAGGAUGCAGCCGUUAGACAUUCCUGUGUGGAAAUGGGAGGACAUCACCAUGGAUUUUGUCACCAAGCUCCCCAGGACCGCACGAGGAGUGGAUUCGAUAUGGGUAGUAGUGGAUCGGUUGACGAAGAGUGCCCAUUUUAUCCCGAUCCAGGAGAGUAUAUCAGCGGAGAAGUUAGCCGAUAUCUAUGUGCGAGAGAUUGUGGCACGUCAAGGAGUGCCGGUAUCGGUGGUGUCAGACCGAGAUGUCCGUUUGACAUCCAGAUUCUGGAAGCGGUUCCACGACGAGAUGGGUACUCGUCUCCAUUUCAGCACCGCUUUCCACCCUCAGACGGACGGGCAGAGCGAGAGGAC
RNAcentral lists this long non-coding RNA (8514 nucleotides) under Lactuca sativa (garden lettuce). RNAcentral's name for it is "long non-coding RNA (LSAT_LNC004487)". The record is from RNAcentral. Lineage: Eukaryota; Viridiplantae; Streptophyta; Magnoliopsida; Asterales; Asteraceae.